This 500-nucleotide ribosomal RNA is filed under the name uncultured bacterium. Its description in RNAcentral is "bacterial SSU rRNA". It matches the Rfam family "Bacterial small subunit ribosomal RNA", at positions 24 to 518 of the family's 1533-position model. The record is from RNAcentral.
UCAGGAUGAACGCUAGCUACAGGCUUACACAUGCAAGUCAGGGGCAGCAUGUGGUUGCUUGCAACCAAUGAUGGCGACCGGCGCACGGGUGAGUAACGCGUAUCCAACUCCCCUAGUAGAGGAUAGCCCGGCGAAAGUCGGAUUAAUACUCUAUGUUCUUCAAUGCGGACAUCUAAGUUGAAGCAAAGAUUUAUCGCUAAGGGAUGGGGAUGCGUCUGAUUAGGUUGCAGGCGGGGUAACGGCCCACCUGGCCUACGAUCAGUAGGGGUUCUGAGAGGAAGGUCCCCCACACUGGUACUGAGACACGGACCAGACUCCUACGGGAGGCAGCAGUGAGGAAUAUUGGUCAAUGGGCGCGAGCCUGAACCAGCCAAGUAGCGUGCAAGGACGACUGCCCUAUGGGUUGUAAACUGCUUUUAUCAGGGAAUAAAGUGAGGCACGCGUGCCUUUUUGUAUGUACCUGAUGAAUAAGGACCGGCUAAUUCCGUGCCAGCAGCCGC